RNAcentral lists this transfer RNA (67 nucleotides) under Lampsilis cariosa. RNAcentral's name for it is "tRNA-Gln". Lineage: Eukaryota; Metazoa; Mollusca; Bivalvia; Unionida; Unionidae. The record is from RNAcentral.
UGAAAGCUAGUGAUUUGUCACAAAUGAAUUUGAAUCAUUAAAUGGAACUAAAAGACUCCGUUUUCAA